CCUCUGCUAAAGGAGGAGGAAGGAAUGGGGCAACGGUAGGUCAGCAUGCCCCGAAUUAUCUGGGCUACACGCGGGCUACAAUGGGUGGGACAAUGGGUAUCGGAACACCGAAAAGGUGAAGGCAAUCUCCUAAACCCAUCCGUAGUUCGGAUUGUGGGCUGCAACUCGCCCACAUGAAGCUGGAAUCUGUAGUAAUCGUGUCUCAAAAUGGCACGGUGAAUAUGUCCCUGCUCCUU
Molecule: ribosomal RNA, 236 nt
Filed under: uncultured Methanomicrobiales archaeon
Lineage: Archaea; Methanobacteriati; Methanobacteriota; Methanomicrobia; Methanomicrobiales
Description: partial 16S ribosomal RNA
Rfam family: Archaeal small subunit ribosomal RNA
Source: RNAcentral